GUGGGGGAUAUUGCACAAUGGGGGAAACCCUGAUGCAGCGACGCCGCGUGAAGGAAGACGUACUUCGGUAUGUAAACUUCUAUCAGCAGGGAAGAAGAUGACGGUACCUGACUAAGAAGCCCCGGCUAACUACGUGCCAGCAGCCGCGGUAAUACGUAGGGGGCAAGCGUUAUCCGGAUUUACUGGGUGUAAAGGGAGCGUAGACGGUGAAGCAAGUCUGAUGUGAAAACCCGGGGCUCAACUCCGGGAUUGCAUUGGAAACUGUUUUACUUGAGUGCUGGAGGGGCAAGCGGAAUUCCUGGUGUAGCGGUGAAAUGCGUAGAUAUCAGGAAGAACACCGGUGGCGAAGGCGGCUUGCUGGACAGUAACUGACGUUGAGGCUCGAAAGCGUGGGGAGCAAACAGGAUUAGAAACCCCAGUAGUCC
This 425-nucleotide ribosomal RNA is filed under the name uncultured bacterium. RNAcentral's name for it is "partial 16S ribosomal RNA". It matches the Rfam family "Bacterial small subunit ribosomal RNA", at positions 354 to 796 of the family's 1533-position model. The record is from RNAcentral.